RNAcentral lists this ribosomal RNA (395 nucleotides) under uncultured Comamonadaceae bacterium. Its description in RNAcentral is "bacterial SSU rRNA". It matches the Rfam family "Bacterial small subunit ribosomal RNA", at positions 984 to 1382 of the family's 1533-position model. The record is from RNAcentral. Lineage: Bacteria; Pseudomonadati; Pseudomonadota; Betaproteobacteria; Burkholderiales; Comamonadaceae.
ACAUGUCCGGAAUCCUGCAGAGAUGCGGGAGUGCCCGAAAGGGAAUCGGAACACAGGUGCUGCAUGGCUGUCGUCAGCUCGUGUCGUGAGAUGUUGGGUUAAGUCCCGCAACGAGCGCAACCCUUGCCAUUAGUUGCUACGAAAGGGCACUCUAAUGGGACUGCCGGUGACAAACCGGAGGAAGGUGGGGAUGACGUCAAGUCCUCAUGGCCCCUAUAGGUGGGGCUACACACGUCAUACAAUGGCCGGUACAGAGGGUAGCCAACCCGCGAGGGGGGAGCCAAUCCCAUAAAGCCAUUCGUAGUCCGGAUCGCAGUCUGCAACUCGACUGCGUGAAGUCGGAAUCGCUAGUAAUCGUGGAUCAGAAUGUCACGGUGAAUACGUUCCCGGGUCUU